RNAcentral lists this ribosomal RNA (245 nucleotides) under uncultured Lachnospiraceae bacterium. RNAcentral's name for it is "partial 16S ribosomal RNA". It matches the Rfam family "Bacterial small subunit ribosomal RNA", at positions 524 to 768 of the family's 1533-position model. Lineage: Bacteria; Bacillati; Bacillota; Clostridia; Lachnospirales; Lachnospiraceae. The record is from RNAcentral.
UACGUAGGGGGCAAGCGUUAUCCGGAUUUACUGGGUGUAAAGGGAGCGUAGGUGGCAAGGCAAGUCAGAUGUGAAAUGCCGGGGCUCAACCCCGGAACUGCAUUUGAAACUGUCUAGCUAGAGUGCAGGAGAGGUAAGUGGAAUUCCUAGUGUAGCGGUGAAAUGCAUAGAUAUUAGGAGGAACACCAGUGGCGAAGGCGGCUUACUGGACUGUAACUGACACUGAGGCUCGAAAGCGUGGGGAG